Long non-coding RNA from Lolium rigidum, 1128 nucleotides. RefSeq lists it as uncharacterized. The record is from RefSeq and is a predicted model, not a curated record. NCBI's taxonomy places the organism in Eukaryota, Viridiplantae, Streptophyta, Magnoliopsida, Poales, Poaceae. The transcript has 3 exons.
CUUCCGCUGGUUCGCCAUGGCCGUCACCGCCCUGAGCUGAGCAACGCCGCGACGAUUUCACCUCAGACUGCAGCGCCACGGGCAGUCAGGUCAAUCCACGGCCGCAGGUGCCGGGACUGAAGGACUCGGUGGCCUCUACUGGCAGGUGACGAGAUGCCGUGGACUGCCAUCUCCGCCGUGGCUGCCGAUACAGCAUCCGACCCCAACUGUCCAACCUCCUUUAAUUAGUCUGAAGCAAGAUAAUCAACAACUGACUAUGCCCUACAAUGGUUUUCAGCGCCUUCAGAAUCAACAAUCUGCAGUUAGCUAGCAAAGGGAAGGCCGUGGUCAACAUUAUCUCUGCACCCACAAUUGCUAAUGACCGCACCAUUUGAAUUGAUUUAGUUUUCUACUAUUUCAUACUUCUGUUGGAUCAAAUCUUUAGAGGUUUGUUGCCUUUUAGUGUUCCUUCGAAAUGCACAUAUAUGUAGAUAUUCUCAUUCUUACUUUGGUGUGCAUGGAAAUUUGUCUCACAUCGUAAUAUUUGACCCAAAAACAGUGGCACGAGUUGACUCAAUUUAUCUUCUUUGUAUAAAAUGUGUCUUCGGCAAUUCAUCUACGUUCCUCCAAACACCCCUUAAUGCUACUCUAAAUUCCCGUAGGUUACUUGUAGUACCUUAACACAUAAUAAUAUAGAAGUGAGCUUGGCAUCUCCACCAUUCUGUAGAAAUAAAUUGCAAAGAUUCCCAUAUGCAUAUUUAGUUGAAUUAGUUUUAUCAGAGUGUAUGUGCAAUUACAGGAUCAGAGCCUAUCUCACUGCAAUUACAGGACGCGAUGUAGUCUCCAUGGUGAGAACUGACACUCUGUUCCUUCCAGUUCAGAAUGUUUAUGUUACUGAGGACAUAUGAGAACUCCCAUCAUUUCUCAAGUUUGGUGCCACCGGUGCUUUAUUGCCAUGCAGAAGUGUAUUGGUUUUGUAGAGGAAAUAAGAUUGUACAGGUCUAUUCUGGACAGGAUAUAUUUUGUGCAAUAGAGCAUAUAAAUUGUUAUGACCCUUUCUGCAAAACAACAAGUGUUACAUACUCUACGGUAGUGGGGAAGCAGGGGUUGUUUAACUUCCUUUAUUUCUCGGUGACUAAUUUGUUUAUC